CUUCUUCUUCUUCUUCUUCUUCCCAUUGAUUUUGUGCUGAGUGAUUGAAAUGGGUACACUUGAUUUGGCGAUCUAAAUCGCGUGCCCAAGCGAUUUAGGACUUAAACAUUCCGUGAAUUGGAACGCAUGACCCAAAUCGUGGAACCCAUGGGGAAUUGGCGAAUCUGGUAACUAUGAUCUAAAAUUGGUUGACAUUCAGAAUUUCUAUAAUGGGUUGCUACCAUCAACAAGGAGCACCAUUAAUACAACAGCUAAUGAAGAUCUAAUGGAAAAGGUAGCUAUUGAAGCCUACAAUCUCCUUGAGCGGGUUGCCUAUCACAACAAUGAGCGGGCCAAUGAAAGAAGAGACAUAACAAAACCAGCUGGAGUGCUUGAACUGGAUGCAUUGAGCAUGAUCAAUGCUCAAUUUGAUCAACUGACAAAGAGGUUAAAUAGGUUGAGUGCUAGCGCUGCCGGAGCUAGUAACUUGGUACGUGAUCAUUGUGGAAGAGGACAUUAGAGUUUAGAAUGCAAUUAUUACAAUAAUCCUUCUUCACAACAGUUGAACUACGUUAAUAAUGGUGUGAAUUUCAACCAGGGAUUGGGCGAAAAUCCUUACUCAAAUGCUUAU
This 610-nucleotide unclassified non-coding RNA is filed under the name Hevea brasiliensis (rubber tree). The record is from RNAcentral. Lineage: Eukaryota; Viridiplantae; Streptophyta; Magnoliopsida; Malpighiales; Euphorbiaceae.